UUCGCAAUGCCCGAAAGGGUGACGAAGCGACGCCGCGUGGGUGAAGAAGGCCUUCGGGUUGUAAAGCCCUGUCAGGAGUUAUGAAAUGUAGGUGCGAUAAUACCGUGCCUAUUUGACAAAGGCCCCAAAGGAAGCCACGGCUAACUCUGUGCCAGCAGCCGCGGUAAUACAGAGGUGGCAAGCGUUGUUCGGAAUUAUUGGGCGUAAAGAGCACGUAGGUGGGUUUGUAAGUCAGAUGUGAAAGCCUUCUGUUCAACGGAAGAAUUGCAUCUGAAACUGCGAGUCUUGAGUGUAGGAGGGGAGAAUGGAACUUCUGGUGGAGCGGUGAAAUGCGUAGAUAUCAGAAGGAACGCCGGCGGCGAAAGCGAUUCUCUGGCCUAUUACUGACACUGAGUGUGCGAAAGCUAGGGGAGCAAACGGGAUUAGAUACCCCGGUAGUCCUAGCCGUAAACGAUGGGCACUAAGUAGAGGGGUUUU
RNAcentral lists this ribosomal RNA (477 nucleotides) under Candidatus Scalindua marina (nom. nud.). Its description in RNAcentral is "bacterial SSU rRNA". It matches the Rfam family "Bacterial small subunit ribosomal RNA", at positions 365 to 832 of the family's 1533-position model. The record is from RNAcentral. Lineage: Bacteria; Pseudomonadati; Planctomycetota; Candidatus Brocadiia; Candidatus Brocadiales; Candidatus Scalinduaceae.